RNAcentral lists this ribosomal RNA (583 nucleotides) under Staphylococcus sp. RNAcentral describes it as "bacterial SSU rRNA". It matches the Rfam family "Bacterial small subunit ribosomal RNA", at positions 348 to 923 of the family's 1533-position model. Lineage: Bacteria; Bacillati; Bacillota; Bacilli; Caryophanales; Staphylococcaceae. The record is from RNAcentral.
GCAGCAGUAGGGAUCUUCCGCAAUGGGCGAAAGCCUGACGGAGCAACGCCGCGUGAGUGAUGAAGGUCUUCGGAUCGUAAAACUCUGUUAUUAGGGAAGAACAAAUGUGUAAGUAACUAUGCACGUCUUGACGGUACCUAAUCAGAAAGCCACGGCUAACUACGUGCCAGCAGCCGCGGUAAUACGUAGGUGGCAAGCGUUAUCCGGAAUUAUUGGGCGUAAAGCGCGCGUAGGCGGUUUUUUAAGUCUGAUGUGAAAGCCCACGGCUCAACCGUGGAGGGUCAUUGGAAACUGGAAAACUUGAGUGCAGAAGAGGAAAGUGGAAUUCCAUGUGUAGCGGUGAAAUGCGCAGAGAUAUGGAGGAACACCAGUGGCGAAGGCGACUUUCUGGUCUGUAACUGACGCUGAUGUGCGAAAGCGUGGGGAUCAAACAGGAUUAGAUACCCUGGUAGUCCACGCCGUAAACGAUGAGUGCUAAGUGUUAGGGGGUUUCCGCCCCUUAGUGCUGCAGCUAACGCAUUAAGCACUCCGCCUGGGGAGUACGACCGCAAGGUUGAAACUCAAAGGAAUUGACGGGGCCCCC